Molecule: ribosomal RNA, 166 nt
Filed under: Solibacillus silvestris
Lineage: Bacteria; Bacillati; Bacillota; Bacilli; Caryophanales; Caryophanaceae
Description: partial 23S ribosomal RNA
Rfam family: Bacterial large subunit ribosomal RNA
Source: RNAcentral
UUUUGGUUAAGUUAAUAAGGGCGCACGGUGGAUGCCUUGGCACUAGGAGUCGAUGAAGGACGGCACUAACACCGAUAUGCCUCGGGGAGCUGUAAGUAAGCUUUGAUCCGGGGAUUUCCGAAUGGGGGAACCCACUAUCUUUAAUCGGAUAGUAUCUUCACGUGAA